Molecule: long non-coding RNA, 693 nt
Organism: Mauremys mutica (yellowpond turtle)
Lineage: Eukaryota; Metazoa; Chordata; Testudines; Geoemydidae
Exons: 4
Source: RefSeq, a predicted model, not a curated record
GGUGUCGUUUCCCUCAGGGGGUAGGCGCUGGGCUGUGUGCCGUGUCUGCAGACAGUGCGGGGUGGGGGGCGGCAGCGUCGGGGCCCCCUCAGAGCACGCCCCGGAGUCCUCCCCAGCCGCCCGCUCCCCUUGCACUAGGCUUGGCACAAUUCGAUUUUUUAAUAUGUUUUUGAAAAUAACGUUCACAGAUAAUAUCGAGUUUUAUCUAGGUGGGUAAGGUGAGAACAAAGGAUGUGCAAAGCAGACGGAGGCGGUCAUAGCAGUGGGCAGGGAAGAGGAUUUUCCUGGCUGCAUUUUAUAUUAGACGAGUGAGGCAAGAAGCACGGAGAUUGGAAAGGAGGAGGUUGCAUUAAUCAAGCAAUCACCAGUGUGCUCAGUGCUUGAAGUUAAGAAGAAGAAGUGGAAGUGCUGGGGUUGCCAGCUAAUGGCAGAUGCUGAAUGUUUUCAGCUUUUCCUACAAGCAGGUGAAAGGAAACUUUGUGCACUACUCUGCUACUUUCCUUGAGGCUUUCAGGCCAGAUCUGCAAAGCAUGUUCCUACUGGCUCCGAGGCUUGUUAAAGGAAAGAGACUGUAAAAAAGAAAAAACACAUUACGUGUGGACUGCAAACGUAAAAGUGACUGAAGUAGGAAGAGAAAGAGAUAUAUUGGCAGCCUGGAGACAUAAUAAGCCAUUAAACCGUUUAAGGGAGGCC